AGCAGCCGCGGUAAUUCCAGCUCCAAUAGCGUAUAUUAAAGUUGUUGCAGUUAAAAAGCUCGUAGUUGAAUUUCGGGAUCAGUUUGUUGGUCGUGCUUCGGUACGUACUGUCACUACUGGUUUCUACCUUCUGAAGAACCUUGAUGUCAUUAAUUUGGUGUCUUGGGGAAUCAGGACUGUUACUUUGAAAAAAUUAGAGUGUUUAAAGCAAGCAUACGCUUGAAUACAUUAGCAUGGAAUAAUGAAAUAGGACGUUUGAUUCUAUUUUGUUGGUUUCUAGGAUCGACGUAAUGAUUAAUAGAGAUAGUUGGGGGCAUUAGUAUUCAAUUGUCAGAGGUGAAAUUCUUGGAUUUAUGAAGACUAACUACUGCGAAAGCAUUUGCCAAGGAUGUUUUCAUUAA
RNAcentral lists this ribosomal RNA (401 nucleotides) under uncultured Glomeromycotina. RNAcentral describes it as "SSU rRNA". It matches the Rfam family "Eukaryotic small subunit ribosomal RNA", at positions 569 to 976 of the family's 1831-position model. Lineage: Eukaryota; Fungi; Glomeromycota. The record is from RNAcentral.